GACGAACGUUGGCGGCGUGCUUAAUACAUGCAAGUCAACUGAAGCAGUGGUAGCAAUAUCGCUGUGGAGGUGGCGCACGGGUGAGUAACACGUAGGUAAUCUGCCUUCAGGUCUGGCAUAACUCCGGGAAACCGGGGCUAAUAGCAGAUGAUGCAGCGGCUCGACAUCGAGACAGUUGUUAAAGCUAUGGCGCCUGAAGAUGAGCCUGCGUCUGAUUAGCUAGUUGGCGGGGUAACGGCCCACCAAGGCAACGAUCAGUAGCUGGUCUGAGAGGAUGAUCAGGCACACUGGAACUGAGACACGGUCCAGAAUCCUACGGGAGGCAGCAGUAAGGAAUAUUGCUCAAUGGGAGAAAUCCUGAAGCAGCAACGCCGCGUGAGGGACGAAGGGCUUUUGCUUGUAAACCUCUGUAGUGAGAGAAAAAAAUCCCAAUCUUUGGGACAUGAUGGUAUCUCAAAAGUAAGCCCCGGCUAACUACGUG
This 481-nucleotide ribosomal RNA is filed under the name uncultured bacterium. RNAcentral's name for it is "partial 16S ribosomal RNA". It matches the Rfam family "Bacterial small subunit ribosomal RNA", at positions 28 to 507 of the family's 1533-position model. The record is from RNAcentral.